CAAGCGGUGGAGCAUGUGGUUAAUUCGAUGCAACGCGAAGAACCUUACCAGGUCUUGACAUCCCACGAAUUCAUCUGAAAGGAUGGAGUGCCUUCGGGAGUGUGGAGACAGGUGGUGCAUGGUUGUCGUCAGCUCGUGUCGUGAGAUGUUGGGUUAAGUCCCGCAACGAGCGCAACCCUUGCUAUUAGUUGCUAACAGGUAGAGCUGAGCACUCUAAUGGGACUGCCGGUGACAAGCCGGAGGAAGGUGGGAUGACGUCAAAUCAUCAUGCCCUUUAUGACCUGGGCUACACACGUGCUACAAUGGGUGGUACAAAGAGAUGCAAUCUCGCAAGAGCAAGCAAACCUCAAAAAGCCAUCCUCAGUUCGGAUUGGAGUCUGCAACUCGACUCCAUGAAGUCGGAAACGCUAGUAAUCGCGGAUCAGCACGCCGCGGUGAAUACGUUCCCGGGCCUU
This 455-nucleotide ribosomal RNA is filed under the name uncultured Syntrophomonas sp. Its description in RNAcentral is "bacterial SSU rRNA". It matches the Rfam family "Bacterial small subunit ribosomal RNA", at positions 926 to 1382 of the family's 1533-position model. Lineage: Bacteria; Bacillati; Bacillota; Clostridia; Eubacteriales; Syntrophomonadaceae. The record is from RNAcentral.